Molecule: ribosomal RNA, 238 nt
Filed under: uncultured bacterium
Lineage: Bacteria
Description: partial 16S ribosomal RNA
Rfam family: Bacterial small subunit ribosomal RNA
Source: RNAcentral
CGGCGGACGGGUGAGUAACGCGUGGGUAACCUACCCUGUACACACGGAUAACAUACCGAAAGGUAUGCUAAUACGGGAUAAUAUAUUUGAGAGGCAUCUCUUGAAUAUCAAAGGUGAGCCAGUACAGGAUGGACCCGCGUCUGAUUAGCUAGUUGGUAAGGUAACGGCUUACCAAGGCGACGAUCAGUAGCCGACCUGAGAGGGUGAUCGGCCACAUUGGAACUGAGACGCGGUCCAA